CCAACAGGGAUUGCCUCAGUAACGGCGAGUGAAGCGGCAACAGCUCAAAUUUGAAAGCUGGCUCUUUUAGGGCCCGCAUUGUAAUUUGUAGAGGAUGCUUCAGGUGCGGCGCUGGUCUAAGUUCUUUGGAACAAGACGUCAUAGAGGGUGAGAAUCCCGUAUGUGACUAGCUGCCUGUGCCUGUGUGAAGCUCCUUCGACGAGUCGAGUUGUUUGGGAAUGCAGCUCAAAAUGGGUGGUGUACUUCAUCUAAAGCUAAAUAUUGGCCAGAGACCGAUAGCGCACAAGUAGAGUGAUCGAAAGAUGAAAAGCACUUUGGAAAGAGAGUUAAACAGUACGUGAAAUUGUUGAAAGGGAAGCGCUUGCAAUCAGACUUGUGCGGCGUCGAUCAACCUGGGUUCUCCCUGGUGCACUCGGCGCUGCUCAGGCCAGCAUCAGUUUCGGCGGUUGGAUAAAGGCCUAGGGAACGUGGGUUACUUCGGUGACUGUUAUAGCCCUAGGUGCAAUGCAGCCUGCUGGGACUGAGGACCGCGCUUCGGCUAGGAUGCUGGCGUAAUGGUUGUAAGCGACCCGUCUUGAAACACGGACCAAGGAGUCUAACAUCUAUGCGAGUUUUUGGGUGUUAAACCCAUAAGCGUAAUGAAAGUGAACGGAGGUGAGAACCCUUAAGGGUGCAUCAUCGACCGAUCCUGAUGUCUUCGGAUGGAUUUGAGUAAGAGCAUAGCUGUUGGGACCCGAAAGAUGAUGAUCUAUACCUGAAUAGGGUGAAGCCAGAGGAAACUCUGGUGGAGGCUCGCAGCGGUUCUGACGUGCAAAUCGAUCGUCAAAUUUGGGUAUAGGGGCGAAAGACUAAUCGAA
Molecule: ribosomal RNA, 857 nt
Filed under: Cudonia sp. L. P. Tang 655
Lineage: Eukaryota; Fungi; Ascomycota; Leotiomycetes; Rhytismatales; Cudoniaceae
Also listed under: 4 other names
Description: eukaryotic LSU rRNA
Rfam family: Eukaryotic large subunit ribosomal RNA
Source: RNAcentral